Non-coding RNA from Vicia faba (fava bean), 210 nucleotides. The record is from the annotation of a GenBank genome assembly. NCBI's taxonomy places the organism in Eukaryota, Viridiplantae, Streptophyta, Magnoliopsida, Fabales, Fabaceae.
AUGAUUGCAUGUGGAUUGAGCCCAGUGGCUGAGCCAGCGUCCGGCCAGGUAGGGCAGCUGCCCAGGCUCCGCCCGACCAUGCUUCACCAUCUCGCGAUGGAGAUCUUCUAUGGCCAUCUUCCGACACACCAUACCGUAAACAGAUACACACCGCAACACCACUCUUGCCUUUCCGGUUUCCGUUCAAUCAAUUAUCGGUUGUGGUGUUGA